UAGUGAUCCGGUGGUUCCGCAUGGAAGGGCCAUCGCUCAACGGAUAAAAGCUACCCCGGGGAUAACAGGCUUAUCUCCCCCAAGAGUCCACAUCGACGGGGAGGUUUGGCACCUCGAUGUCGGCUCAUCGCAUCCUGGGGCUGUAGUCGGUCCCAAGGGUUGGGCUGUUCGCCCAUUAAAGCGGUACGCGAGCUGGGUUCAGAACGUCGUGAGACAGUUCGGUCCCUAUCCGUCGCGGGCGCAGGAAAUUUGAGAGGAGCUGUCCUUAGUACGAGAGGACCGGGAUGGACGCACCGCUGGUGUACCAGUUGUUCUGCCAAGGGCAUCGCUGGGUAGCUAUGUGCGGACGGGAUAAGUGCUGAAAGCAUCUAAGCAUGAAGCCCCCCUCAAGAUGAGAUUUCCCAUUCCGCAAGGAAGUAAGAUCCCUGAAAGAUGAUCAGGUUGAUAGGUCUGAGGUGGAAGCGUGGUGACACGUGGAGCUGACAGAUACUAAUAGAUCGAGGACUUAACCUAU
This 514-nucleotide ribosomal RNA is filed under the name Bacillus pumilus. Its description in RNAcentral is "partial 23S ribosomal RNA". It matches the Rfam family "Bacterial large subunit ribosomal RNA", at positions 2413 to 2925 of the family's 2925-position model. Lineage: Bacteria; Bacillati; Bacillota; Bacilli; Caryophanales; Bacillaceae. The record is from RNAcentral.